RNAcentral lists this ribosomal RNA (300 nucleotides) under uncultured Rathayibacter sp. RNAcentral's name for it is "bacterial SSU rRNA". It matches the Rfam family "Bacterial small subunit ribosomal RNA", at positions 114 to 416 of the family's 1533-position model. Lineage: Bacteria; Bacillati; Actinomycetota; Actinomycetes; Micrococcales; Microbacteriaceae. The record is from RNAcentral.
CACGUGAGUAACCUGCCCUUGGCUCUGGGAUAAGCGCUGGAAACGGCGUCUAAUACUGGAUAUAACCCCUUGUCGCAUGGUGGGGGUGGAAAGAUUUUUGGUCCAUGGAUGGGCUCGCGGCCUAUCAGCUUGUUGGUGAGGUAGUGGCUCACCAAGGCGACGACGGGUAGCCGGCCUGAGAGGGUGACCGGCCACACUGGGACUGAGACACGGCCCAGACUCCUACGGGAGGCAGCAGUGGGGAAUAUUGGACAAUGGGCGCAAGCCUGAUCCAGCCAUGCCGCGUGAGUGAUGAAGGCC